GUUCAAGUCUCUCCGUCCGCA
RNAcentral lists this transfer RNA (21 nucleotides) under Ahnfeltia borealis. Its description in RNAcentral is "partial tRNA-Leu". The record is from RNAcentral. Lineage: Eukaryota; Rhodophyta; Florideophyceae; Ahnfeltiales; Ahnfeltiaceae.